CUCCCGAUUCCCAGCCGCCGCCGCCACCGCAUCCUCUCUCCUCCCCUGACGUCGCCUUUUCCCCCUCCUCUCCUCGCAACGGCCUCCUCCUUCCUGCAGCGCCUCUUCCUCUCUUCCUUGCUGAUGGCGCCACCCGCCGGUCGAUGCCUCCUGUCUUGCCCUUUCCAUGGGGAGGUGGAGAUGGGAAGAUGGCGUUGGAGGAGGGAGCACGGGUGGGCGCCGCAGCUGAAGCACGGGUGGCCUGGUUGUGGCCUGGUUGUGGUGGAGCAUGGCGGGAGUCCGGGCGGCGUCGUGGUCGUGGUCAAGAGGAGAAGCACGGGUGGCCGCCGUAGCUGAGCUUCUAUGUAAUAUAGUUCCGAUGAAUCCUCUGCCGC
This 374-nucleotide ribosomal RNA is filed under the name Triticum aestivum (bread wheat). RNAcentral's name for it is "partial small subunit ribosomal RNA". Lineage: Eukaryota; Viridiplantae; Streptophyta; Magnoliopsida; Poales; Poaceae. The record is from RNAcentral.